Phyllopteryx taeniolatus (common seadragon) is the source of this 2312-nucleotide long non-coding RNA. RefSeq lists it as uncharacterized. The record is from RefSeq and is a predicted model, not a curated record. NCBI's taxonomy places the organism in Eukaryota, Metazoa, Chordata, Actinopteri, Syngnathiformes, Syngnathidae. The transcript has 3 exons.
AUCCAUCCAUCCAUUUUCUACACCGCUUCUCCUCACUCGGGUCGCGGGUAUGCUGGAGCCUAUCCCAGCGAACUGCGGGCAGGAGGCAGGGUACACCUUGAACUGGUUACCAGCCAAUCGCAGGGCACAUAUAAACAAACAACCAUUAGUCACAUUCACUCCUACGGACAACGGAGUCUUCAAUUAACCUGCCAUGCAUAUUUUUGGUGUGUAGGAGGAAACCGGAGUACCCGGAGAAAAACCCACGCAGGCACGGGGAAAACAUGCCCCACACUCCACACAGGCGAGGCCAGAUUUGAACCGAGGUCCUCAGAACCGUGAGGUGGAUGUGCUAACAGGUGGUGUCACCUAAAUUAAAAGAUGAAAAUCAAAAUAAAACAAUCAGGAAAAAAAAUAAAAUCCCAAAACAUCAACAUAUAAGGAUGAAGGUAAAAGGUAAAAUAAUAUGACUUUUGAAAAAGCAGAAGCUUUUUUAGGCCAACCUUAAAUGUUUGACAGGUUUGAGCAGUUUUCAGGUGCACCUUACUCCAGUGGCAUUGUUAGGCCUAUUUUAGGGGGCAACUGCUUCCUUCCAGGAAGCUGCUAGACUAACUACCGACUAGCGAGCGCCUACACGGAACCUGCAUGUCGGUUAUUUGUCUUUUGGGGAAACUCACAGACACGGACAACUGCCAAGAGUCUCAAAAUGAUGCUGUUUCCCGCCACGAAAGGCAGAUAUGAAAGCAGAAAAGGAGUUUGUCUCGCUGAAACAGCAGGUUAUUGAACUACUGCAACAAUGGGACAUUUUCACAGUACUACUUGGAAAACUUGACAAGCUUUGUCACAAUAAUCAUGGACUCAACAAAAAACAAACAAACAAACAAACAAAAACAGACUGGCUGACCUUUCACUGGAGAAACAGCAGGUAGAGUGAGCUUACUUUUUAUCUAUGUCUGUCUAACAGUCACAAAUCUGAAAGUCUUCUUCAGAGGUUUGCUAUUUAGCGACAAGGGAUGGAAAACAUGCCUCAUAAGAACUUCAUUUUUUUGGGUCGUGGGCGUGCUGGAGCCUAUCCCAGCUGUCAUCGGGGAGGAGGCGGGGUACACCCUGAACUGGAUGCCAGGCAAUCGCAGAGCACAUACAAACAAACAACCAUCCGCACUCACAUUCACACCUACGGGCAAUUCAGAGUCUCCAAUUAAUGCAUGUUUUUGGGAUGUGGGAGGAAACCGGAGUGCCCGGAGAAAACCCACGCAGGCACGGGGAGAACAUGCAAACUCCACACAGGCGGGGCCGGGGAUUGAACCCGGGUCCUCAGAACUGUGAGGCUGACGCUCUAACCAGUCCACCACCGUGCCGCCGUUAUCCAAUAUAUCAUCUGUUACCAUGGCCCAAUGGUUAAGAUCAUCACCUGCCACAGUGGGGGACCUAGGUUCAAGACCCCGACUGGACCAUCCGCCAACAUCCCCCGGACUAAUGGCUGUGGUGUCCUUGACACUGAUACCCAGAAAUGACACUGAUACCCAGAAAUGCUCCCCGGGCGCUUCAGCUGUGUUUCAGCUGCCCCCUGCUCCAGUGUGUUCCACUAACAUGUGUAUGUGUUCACUGUGAUGGGUUAAAUGCAGAGAACAAAUUUCGUGUGCAUGCAUGCAUGUUCAUGACCAUAAAAGAUGAUUCUUCUUCUUCUUCUUCUUCUUCUUCUUCUUUAAACUUUUUGUAACCAGUUUGGCAGUAUGCUUCAAGUCAUUGUUCAUUUGAAAGCCCAAUUGGUGGCCAAGCUUUAAAUUCUUGGCUGAUGUCUUGAGAUGUUGCUUCACUAUUUCCACAUAUUGUUCUUUCCUCAUGAUGCCAUCUAUUCCGUGAAGUGCACCAAUCCCUCCUUUAGUAAACAACAUCACAAAAUGAUGCUUCCACCCCUGUAUAGUAUAGUACUUGUUUCACUGUGGAUAAUGACACACUGUUACCAGCUUUAGCCAGCAUCCUUCACAUGGUCUUUCGCUUUUUUUCUUGGGUUGAUAUACACAUUUCGGGCCAAAGCACAUUCAUCUCUGGGACACAGAACCCGUCUCCUUCACGAGCAGUAUGAUGGCUGAACAUUUCCUAUUGCGUUUAUACUUGCGUGUAAUUGUUUGAAAAGAUGAAUGUGACACCUUCAGGCAUCUGGAAAUUGCACGCUUUGUUGAACCAGACUUGUGCAAGUCCAUAAUUCUCUUCCUGAUAUCUUGACUGAUUUCUUUUGACCUUUCCAUGACGAUAUACUAAGAAGCUGUGUGUAUCAUUUUUGGCUAGUUCAUAUACAUCCACAGGCAUGCCUGUAAUUAACUCAAAUUUUG